RNAcentral lists this ribosomal RNA (819 nucleotides) under Tolypocladium cucullae. RNAcentral's name for it is "SSU rRNA". It matches the Rfam family "Eukaryotic small subunit ribosomal RNA", at positions 283 to 1107 of the family's 1831-position model. Lineage: Eukaryota; Fungi; Ascomycota; Sordariomycetes; Hypocreales; Ophiocordycipitaceae. The record is from RNAcentral.
GCCGGCGAUGGCUCAUUCAAAUUUCCUUCCCUAUCAACUUUCGAUGUUUGGGUAGUGGCCAAACAUGGUUGCAACGGGUAACGGAGGGUUAGGGCUCGACCCCGGAGAAGGAGCCUGAGAAACGGCUACUACAUCCAAGGAAGGCAGCAGGCGCGCAAAUUACCCAAUCCCGACACGGGGAGGUAGUGACAAUAAAUACUGAUACAGGGCUCUUUUGGGUCUUGUAAUUGGAAUGAGUACAAUUUAAAUCCCUUAACGAGGAACAAUUGGAGGGCAAGUCUGGUGCCAGCAGCCGCGGUAAUUCCAGCUCCAAUAGCGUAUAUUAAAGUUGUUGUGGUUAAAAAGCUCGUAGUUGAACCUUGGGCCUGGCUGGCCGGUCCGCCUCACCGCGUGUACUGGUCCGGCCGGGCCUUUCCCUCUGUGGAACCCCAUGCCCUUCACUGGGUGUGGCGGGGAAACAGGACUUUUACUUUGAAAAAAUUAGAGUGCUCCAGGCAGGCCUAUGCUCGAAUACAUUAGCAUGGAAUAAUGAAAUAGGACGUGCGGUUCUAUUUUGUUGGUUUCUAGGACCGCCGUAAUGAUUAAUAGGGACAGUCGGGGGCAUCAGUAUUCAAUUGUCAGAGGUGAAAUUCUUGGAUUUAUUGAAGACUAACUACUGCGAAAGCAUUUGCCAAGGAUGUUUUCAUUAAUCAGGAACGAAAGUUAGGGGAUCGAAGACGAUCAGAUACCGUCGUAGUCUUAACCAUAAACUAUGCCGACUAGGGAUCGGACGAUGUUAUUUCUUGACUCGUUCGGCACCUUACGAGAAAUCAAAGUGCU